AAAUUGAAGAGUUUGAUCAUGGCUCAGAUUGAACGCUGGCGGCAGGCCUAACACAUGCAAGUCGAACGGUAACAGGAAGCAGCUUGCUGCUUUGCUGACGAGUGGCGGACGGGUGAGUAAUGUCUGGGAAACUGCCUGAUGGAGGGGGAUAACUACUGGAAACGGUGGCUAAUACCGCAUAACGUCGCAAGACCAAAGAGGGGGACCUUCGGGCCUCUUGCCAUCAGAUGUGCCCAGAUGGGAUUAGCUUGUUGGUGAGGUAACGGCUCACCAAGGCGACGAUCCCUAGCUGGUCUGAGAGGAUGACCAGCCACACUGGAACUGAGACACGGUCCAGACUCCUACGGGAGGCAGCAGUGGGGAAUAUUGCACAAUGGGCGCAAGCCUGAUGCAGCCAUGCCGCGUGUAUGAAGAAGGCCUUCGGGUUGUAAAGUACUUUCAGCGGGGAGGAAGGUGUUGUGGUUAAUAACCGCAGCAAUUGACGUUACCCGCAGAAGAAGCACCGGCUAACUCCGUGCCAGCAGCCGCGGUAAUACGGAGGGUGCAAGCGUUAAUCGGAAUUACUGGGCGUAAAGCGCACGCAGGCGGUCUGUCAAGUCGGAUGUGAAAUCCCCGGGCUCAACCUGGGAACUGCAUUCGAAACUGGCAGGCUUGAGUCUUGUAGAGGGGGGUAGAAUUCCAGGUGUAGCGGUGAAAUGCGUAGAGAUCUGGAGGAAUACCGGUGGCGAAGGCGGCCCCCUGGACAAAGACUGACGCUCAGGUGCGAAAGCGUGGGGAGCAAACAGGAUUAGAUACCCUGGUAGUCCACGCCGUAAACGAUGUCUACUUGGAGGUUGUGCCCUUGAGGCGUGGCUUCCGGAGCUAACGCGUUAAGUAGACCGCCUGGGGAGUACGGCCGCAAGGUUAAAACUCAAAUGAAUUGACGGGGGCCCGCACAAGCGGUGGAGCAUGUGGUUUAAUUCGAUGCAACGCGAAGAACCUUACCUGGUCUUGACAUCCACAGAAGAAUCCAGAGAUGGAUUUGUGCCUUCGGGAACUGUGAGACAGGUGCUGCAUGGCUGUCGUCAGCUCGUGUUGUGAAAUGUUGGGUUAAGUCCCGCAACGAGCGCAACCCUUAUCCUUUGUUGCCAGCGGUCCGGCCGGGAACUCAAAGGAGACUGCCAGUGAUAAACUGGAGGAAGGUGGGGAUGACGUCAAGUCAUCAUGGCCCUUACGACCAGGGCUACACACGUGCUACAAUGGCGCAUACAAAGAGAAGCGACCUCGCGAGAGCAAGCGGACCUCAUAAAGUGCGUCGUAGUCCGGAUUGGAGUCUGCAACUCGACUCCAUGAAGUCGGAAUCGCUAGUAAUCGUGGAUCAGAAUGCCACGGUGAAUACGUUCCCGGGCCUUGUACACACCGCCCGUCACACCAUGGGAGUGGGUUGCAAAAGAAGUAGGUAGCUUAACCUUCGGGAGGGCGCUUACCACUUUGUGAUUCAUGACUGGGGUGAAGUCGUAACAAGGUAACCGUAGGGGAACCUGCGGUUGGAUCACCUCCUUACCUU
This 1546-nucleotide ribosomal RNA is filed under the name Salmonella enterica subsp. enterica serovar Paratyphi C. RNAcentral describes it as "bacterial SSU rRNA". It matches the Rfam family "Bacterial small subunit ribosomal RNA". Lineage: Bacteria; Pseudomonadati; Pseudomonadota; Gammaproteobacteria; Enterobacterales; Enterobacteriaceae. The record is from RNAcentral.